Molecule: small nuclear RNA, 103 nt
Organism: Choloepus hoffmanni (Hoffmann's two-fingered sloth)
Lineage: Eukaryota; Metazoa; Chordata; Mammalia; Pilosa; Megalonychidae
Source: Ensembl
GUUUGCUUUGGUAGACAUAUACUAAAAUUGGAAUGAUACAGGGAAGAUUAGAAUGUCCUUGUGCAAGGAUGACGCACAAAUUUGUGAAGUGUUCCAUAUUUUU